RNAcentral lists this ribosomal RNA (253 nucleotides) under uncultured bacterium. RNAcentral's name for it is "partial 16S ribosomal RNA". It matches the Rfam family "Bacterial small subunit ribosomal RNA", at positions 524 to 776 of the family's 1533-position model. The record is from RNAcentral.
UACGAAGGGGGCUAUCGUUGUUCGGAAUUACUGGGCGUAAAGCGCACGUAGGCGGGUUGUUAAGUCAGGGGUGAAAUCCCGGAGCUCAACUCCGGAACUGCCUUUGAUACUGGCAACCUAGAGACUGGAAGAGGUUAGUGGAAUUCCCAGUGUAGAGGUGAAAUUCGUAGAUAUUGGGAAGAACACCAGUGGCGAAGGCGGCUAACUGGUCCAGUACUGACGCUGAGGUGCGAAAGCGUGGGGAGAAAACAGG